RNAcentral lists this ribosomal RNA (1164 nucleotides) under Halomonas sp. SL014B-62A3. Its description in RNAcentral is "bacterial SSU rRNA". It matches the Rfam family "Bacterial small subunit ribosomal RNA", at positions 240 to 1397 of the family's 1533-position model. The record is from RNAcentral. Lineage: Bacteria; Pseudomonadati; Pseudomonadota; Gammaproteobacteria; Oceanospirillales; Halomonadaceae.
AUUAGCUGGUUGGUGAGGUAACGGCUCACCAAGGCGACGAUCCGUAGCUGGUCUGAGAGGAUGAUCAGCCACAUCGGGACUGAGACACGGCCCGAACUCCUACGGGAGGCAGCAGUGGGGAAUAUUGGACAAUGGGGGCAACCCUGAUCCAGCCAUGCCGCGUGUGUGAAGAAGGCCUUCGGGUUGUAAAGCACUUUCAGUGGGGAAGAAGGCCUUGAGGCUAAUACCCUCGAGGAAGGACAUCACCCACAGAAGAAGCACCGGCUAACUCCGUGCCAGCAGCCGCGGUAAUACGGAGGGUGCGAGCGUUAAUCGGAAUGACUGGGCGUAAAGCGCGCGUAGGCGGCUUGGUAAGCCGGUUGUGAAAGCCCCGGGCUCAACCUGGGAAUGGCAUCCGGAACUGUCAGGCUAGAGUGCAGGAGAGGAAGGUAGAAUUCCCGGUGUAGCGGUGAAAUGCGUAGAGAUCGGGAGGAAUACCAGUGGCGAAGGCGGCCUUCUGGACUGACACUGACGCUGAGGUGCGAAAGCGUGGGUAGCAAACAGGAUUAGAUACCCUGGUAGUCCACGCCGUAAACGAUGUCGACUAGCCGUUGGGCUCCUCGAGAGCUUAGUGGCGCAGUUAACGCGAUAAGUCGACCGCCUGGGGAGUACGGCCGCAAGGUUAAAACUCAAAUGAAUUGACGGGGGCCCGCACAAGCGGUGGAGCAUGUGGUUUAAUUCGAUGCAACGCGAAGAACCUUACCUACCCUUGACAUCCUCGGAAGCCGGAAGAGAUUCUGGUGUGCCUUCGGGAGCCGAGUGACAGGUGCUGCAUGGCCGUCGUCAGCUCGUGUUGUGAAAUGUUGGGUUAAGUCCCGUAACGAGCGCAACCCUUGUCCCUAUUUGCCAGCGAUUCGGUCGGGAACUCUAGGGAGACUGCCGGUGACAAACCGGAGGAAGGUGGGGACGACGUCAGGUCAUCAUGGCCCUUACGGGUAGGGCUACACACGUGCUACAAUGGUCGGUACAAAGGGUUGCGAGUUCGCGAGGACGAGCCAAUCCCGAAAAGCCGAUCUCAGUCCGGAUCGGAGUCUGCAACUCGACUCCGUGAAGUCGGAAUCGCUAGUAAUCGUGAAUCAGAAUGUCACGGUGAAUACGUUCCCGGGCCUUGUACACACCGCCCGU